This 84-nucleotide non-coding RNA is filed under the name Paenalicyclobacillus ferrooxydans. RNAcentral's name for it is "Alicyclobacillus ferrooxydans c-di-GMP sequence". It matches the Rfam family "c-di-GMP-I riboswitch aptamer". From Rfam's summary of the family: GEMM was predicted in a large-scale screen for bacterial structured RNA regulatory elements. Lineage: Bacteria; Bacillati; Bacillota; Bacilli; Caryophanales; Alicyclobacillaceae. The record is from Rfam by way of RNAcentral.
AUGGAGUACGGGCACACCAAAGGAAACUUUGGGUCGCAAAGCUACGGGUCUACGGGUUUGACCUAUGAUCGCCGGGUUGCUAUA